UAUAUUGGACAAUGGGCGAAAGCCUGAUCCAGCCAUGUCGCGUGUGUGAAGAAGGUCUACGGAUUGUAACGCACUUUCAGUUGGGAGGAAGGGAAGCAAGUUAAGACCUUGUUGUUCUGACGCUACCGACAGAAUAAGCACGGGCUAACUCCGUUCCAGCAUCCGCGGUAAUACGAAGGGUGCAAGCGUUAAUCAGAAUUACUGGGCUUAAAGCGCGCGUAGGUUGUGUGCUAAGUUGGAAGUGAAAGCCCCGAGCUCAACCUGGGAACUGCUUUCAAAACUGGCAAGCUAGAGUAUAGCAGAGGGUAAUUGAAUAUCCAGUGUAGCGAUGAAAGGCGUAGAUGUAGGAAGGAACACCAGUGGCGAAGGCGACUACCUGGACUGAUACUGACACUGAGGUGCGAAAGCGUGGGUAGCAAAC
RNAcentral lists this ribosomal RNA (421 nucleotides) under uncultured bacterium. RNAcentral's name for it is "partial 16S ribosomal RNA". It matches the Rfam family "Bacterial small subunit ribosomal RNA", at positions 359 to 773 of the family's 1533-position model. The record is from RNAcentral.